AAACCUGAUAAACAGAGUCCUAAUGUUCAGGACAACUGGUGAAAAAUGAAAUCACAAGAUCAUUGGAACACAGCUUUGGAGCUAGCAGAUACAGGGUAGGCUAUCAAGUUGAAUCCCUUCUCUUUCCAGAUGAGAAAACUAAAACAUAAAGAGGUCAAAUACAUAAAAAAAGUAAAAUGUUACUAAAUUACUAAGUGCUUUUGAAGGAAUUUGAAGGAAACAUUUGGACCCAGAUCUUCAUAACCACAAUUUGUUAUCAAUUUCUGAUGAUUGAUACUUUUUGUUGAUUAGUCAUUUCAAUUGUGUCCAAUUCUUUGUGACCCUAUUUGUGGUUUUCUUGGCAAAGAUAUGGGAUGCCAUUUCCUUCUCCAACUCAUUUUACAAAUGAGAAAACUGAGGCAAACAGGGUUAGGAGAUUUGUCUAGGGUCACACUGCUAGUAAGUGAAUGAGACUGGAUUUGAACUCAGGGAGAUUAAUCUUCACCUCUCUAAGCCUGGUACUCUCUCCACUGUACCACCUAGAGGCCCAUUUGAUCCUAUACUGAAUACAUUUGUUCAUUAUUAUCUGUUGACUCAAUUAAAAAUAAGGAUUUACCAAAGAGCUUAAGAGCAUGAAGCCUGAAAUACUUCAGUGUUUUGACUGUGGUAUAAUUUCACAAUCUCUAAUUUCACAAUGCUGCUUCCUAGAAAACUGGUGAAAAGGAUAGAGUUGUAGAUGUAGAGUCAGAAGACUGAGGUUCAAAUUCUUCCUCUGAUUCUUCCCAGCUGUGUCUGGGAGAGUCAUGUAAUGGCAGUGAAGACAGAAUUAACUCUCUCCUGGCCUAUUUUUAGCUAAUUAAAUCAAGAAUUUAAAGCACCUCUACUUGACACUAAGUAAGAGAGUUGCAAGUCACUAACUAGAGUAAGUUCACACCUCCAAAGAUCACUACCUCCCCCCUUGGGCAGUGUUAGGCAAAUUGAAAGACUGCAAUUUCCAUAACGUGGGGGAGCAACAGGUAGUGACAGGAAGUGACAUGGAAAAAAGGAGGAUAAAAGAGGAAACUAGCAGGGUCUAGAGGCAUUCCUUUCCUGGCUUUUGGAGAGAUUAGUUCUGGAGAUUCCUGCCUCGGCUUUGGAGGAGGCUGCAUUGGUGGAACCCUGACUGAAGAAACCACUGGGACUUCAGGCUGAAGGUUACUAGGAAAUCCAGAUGGAGACAGAGUCUUGGGGAAGCCCUGCUGUGGCUGAGCUUGGCUUCUCAGGAAAAGGGCUGUUCUUUCUCUGGAGGUGGACAUACACAAGUUAUUCUUCAAAUAAUAUUUCUGUUGUAGUAUAUAAUGUUCUCUUUUUAAAAACGAUGAGGAAACUGAGAUCCAAGCAGUUACCUGACCUGUCCAAGUGAUCACACUAGCAUGUGGAAGAGGCAAAUUAAAACCUAGAGUGCAGGAGGAGCAGCCUGUGAAGACUUCUCCUGGAGGAAGGGGUAGAUGAGAAUCAUUUGUUCCAGUGGCCAUGAAGGUGGUGGAAACAGGCACUGUGGAAUGCUUGGAGCAUGGUUAAUCAUUGAAGACACCGAGGACAUUCCAAUGAAUCCUGGGACAGCUCUAGUUUUUGUCUUGCCACUGGACUUCGAUGACUGAAAGAAAGAGUGAAAUCGAUGAUUUUGUGCACUUUUGCCUCACUUAAAUCCAGUUCGCCAGUGAUGACAAUGAUCUUCUUCAAAAACAAAGCUCAAACAAGAACAAAAUAAUAAAAUUAUUAUAUUAA
Long non-coding RNA from Monodelphis domestica (gray short-tailed opossum), 1746 nucleotides. RefSeq lists it as uncharacterized. NCBI's taxonomy places the organism in Eukaryota, Metazoa, Chordata, Mammalia, Didelphimorphia, Didelphidae. The record is from RefSeq and is a predicted model, not a curated record.